GGUUAGUACCUAUAAAAAGUGGUUCAAGGAAGGACAACCAGUGGACUGGUGUCAGGAUCAUGGACGCCCAAGGCUCAUUGAUGCAUGUGGUGAGUGAAGGCUACUGUAGCUCAAAUUGCUGAAAAACUUAAUGCUGGCCAUGAUAGAUUUGUGUGUGAACACAGAGUGUAUCACAGUUUUCUGUGUAGCCGCAAAUGUCAGUCUCUUUUAUG
Molecule: non-coding RNA, 212 nt
Organism: Pelobates cultripes (western spadefoot toad)
Lineage: Eukaryota; Metazoa; Chordata; Amphibia; Anura; Pelobatidae
Source: the annotation of a GenBank genome assembly